Molecule: small nucleolar RNA, 132 nt
Filed under: Chinchilla lanigera (long-tailed chinchilla)
Lineage: Eukaryota; Metazoa; Chordata; Mammalia; Rodentia; Chinchillidae
Description: Small nucleolar RNA SNORA5 (ENSCLAG00000019932.1)
Rfam family: Small nucleolar RNA SNORA5
About the family: ACA5 is a member of the H/ACA class of snoRNA that guide the sites of modification of uridines to pseudouridines.
Source: Rfam by way of RNAcentral
CGCAGCCGUGUCAAAUUCGGUGCCCACCUCGCAUGUGAGGCACCGGCCCAGGAGGCUGCCACAGGAACGCUGUGACUCAUGGGCCCUGCUCCCCUUGCCUGGGCGCAGGGAUAAAUUUGGUCACAGACACUG